UGGGGAAUCUUGGACAAUGGGCGCAAGCCUGAUCCAGCCAUGCCGCGUGAGUGAUGGAGGCCUUAGGGUUGUAAAGCUCUUUUGCCGGGGACGAUAAUGACGGUACCCGGAGAAUAAGUCCCGGCUAACUUCGUGCCAGCAGCCGCGGUAAUACGAAGGGGACUAGCGUUGUUCGGAAUCACUGGGCGUAAAGCGCACGUAGGCGGAUUUGUAAGUCAGGGGUGAAAUCCCGGGGCUCAACCUCGGAACUGCCUUUGAUACUGCGGAUCUCGAGUCCGAUAGAGGUGAGUGGAAUUCCUAGUGUAGAGGUGAAAUUCGUAGAUAUUAGGAAGAACACCGGUGGCGAAGGCGGCUCACUGGAUCGGUACUGACGCUGAGGUGCGAAAGCGUGGGGAGCAAACAGGAUUAGAUACCCCAGUAGUCCCUGAGCGGGCUGGCAAGGCGCAU
This 447-nucleotide ribosomal RNA is filed under the name uncultured bacterium. RNAcentral describes it as "bacterial SSU rRNA". It matches the Rfam family "Bacterial small subunit ribosomal RNA", at positions 355 to 825 of the family's 1533-position model. The record is from RNAcentral.